Molecule: ribosomal RNA, 467 nt
Filed under: uncultured bacterium
Lineage: Bacteria
Description: partial 16S ribosomal RNA
Rfam family: Bacterial small subunit ribosomal RNA
Source: RNAcentral
ACGCACGCUGGCGGCUUGCUUCACCCCUGCCAGUCGCACGGAAAGGCCCUGCUUUUGUGGGGUGCUCGAGUGGCGAACGGGUGAGUAACACGUGAGUAACCUGCCCUUGACUUUGGGAUAACUUCAGGAAACUGGGGCUAAUACCGGAUAGGAGCUCCUGCUGCAUGGUGGGGGUUGGAAAGUUUCGGCGGUUGGGGAUGGACUCGCGGCUUAUCAGCUUGUUGGUGGGGUAGUGGCUUACCAAGGCUUUGACGGGUAGCCGGCCUGAGAGGGUGACCGGCCACAUUGGGACUGAGAUACGGCCCAGACUCGUACGGGAGGCAGCAGUGGGGAAUAUUGCACAAUGGGCGGAAGCCUGAUGCAGCAACGCCGCGUGCGGGAUGACGGCCUUCGGGUUGUAAACCGCUUUCGCCUGUGACGAAGCGUGAGUGACGGUAAUGGGUAAAGAAGCACCGGCUAACUACGUG